AGGAUCUCCACUUUCGGCAGCCGCUGGUUUGGGUUCGUGCUGGUGCGUCGCUUCAACACUUCGAAUGCUUCGUUUACCUGCAAGUAAUCGGAGCAUUGUCGUAUUUCAAACAUUUCUGCAAAGUGAGAACCGGAUGUAUAUGCCAUCGGUGAGGAUAUUAACCAGACAUCCAGCUACAGUAACACAAUACAGCGCAGUUUCAGUUGUUUGUCGCGGCGGAUGUAAACGCGUGCCUCUCCGCGGCACUGUGACACUAACCUUCCGCAACCGACGCCGCUCGCGCAGGGUGGCCGCUUUCCGGCGAUCGACCGCGACGCUCUUCUUUUUGCACGCCUUG
Long non-coding RNA from Anopheles merus, 337 nucleotides. RefSeq lists it as uncharacterized. The record is from RefSeq and is a predicted model, not a curated record. Lineage: Eukaryota; Metazoa; Arthropoda; Insecta; Diptera; Culicidae. The transcript is spliced from 3 exons.